Molecule: ribosomal RNA, 504 nt
Filed under: uncultured bacterium
Lineage: Bacteria
Description: partial 16S ribosomal RNA
Rfam family: Bacterial small subunit ribosomal RNA
Source: RNAcentral
AUUGAACGCUGGCGGCAGGCCUAACACAUGCAAGUCGAACGGUAGCACAGAGAGCUUGCUCUCGGGUGACGAGUGGCGGACGGGUGAGUAAUGUCUGGGAAACUGCCCGAUGGAGGGGGAUAACUACUGGAAACGGUAGCUAAUACCGCAUAACGUCGCAAGACCAAAGUGGGGGACCUUCGGGCCUCACACCAUCGGAUGUGCCCAGAGGGGAUUAGCUAGUAGGUGGGGUAAUGGCUCACCUAGGCGACGAUCCCUAGCUGGUCUGAGAGGAUGACCAGCCACACUGGAACUGAGACACGGUCCAGACUCCUACGGGAGGCAGCAGUGGGGAAUAUUGCACAAUGGGCGCAAGCCUGAUGCAGCCAUGCCGCGUGUAUGAAGAAGGCCUUCGGGUUGUAAAGUACUUUCAGCGGGGAGGAGGGCGGUGAAGUUAAUAACUUCACCGAUUGACGUUACCCGCAGAAGAAGCACCGGCUAACUCCGUGCCAGCCGCCGCCGUAA